This 557-nucleotide long non-coding RNA is filed under the name Homo sapiens (human). Its description in RNAcentral is "SLIT3 antisense RNA 1". Lineage: Eukaryota; Metazoa; Chordata; Mammalia; Primates; Hominidae. The record is from RNAcentral.
AGUCCUCACCUCCCACAUGCUUUUCAUCACCCGCUCUCACAUCCCAUCUGGGGCCUCUGCUUCCAUCCUACCAUUUCGCAAGCCUGGCCAACUCAAGCUCCGUGUGCUGCACCUAGAGCAGCCCAUCUCUGUGUCAGCUUUCAUAAGGAGGAGUCAGAGAAGUAAUCUGGAGCCACUAAGAGUCAAAGACAGGAAAAAUGGGCUUAAGCAGGAGGAAAAUUCCAGCAGGACAAAGAAACACAGGCUGGGAGGUGAGCUGCUCAGUUGCCAGAGUAUCAACCUGAGCCCAGGACACUGCCAGACUGCUGAGUCAAAGAGGGUUUAGCAGCCCAUUUUCAUAGACAGACAGGUGAGAGGAGGAUGCUGGACAUGGUCCCAGAGACAUGGGGACUCAAGAAACAUGAAGAUCUGUUCACAGCUAAGGGCACAUUUCCAUGCCGAGAAAUCAGGCGUGAGCGCAAGAGUCCUAUCGUCUACCAGAAAAAGAAAUCUUUGGGUAAUUUUUUUCUCUGUCUUAUCUCCGAGUUGGGUGGUGAACUGUGGAAACACUGUAUUGA